GUCACGCCCUAAACGAUGAUCACUGGUGUUCGGGAGCGAUCUCUGAGUACCGAAGCUAACGCGUGAAGUGAUCCGCCUGGGGAGUACGGUCGCAAGAUUAAACUCAAAGGAAUUGACGGGGACCCGCACAAGCGGUGGAUGAUGUGGAUUAAUUCGAUGCAACGCGAACAACCUUACCUACCCUUGACAUGUCCGGAAGGCCGCCGAGAGGUGGUUGUGCCCCGAAAGGGACCGGACACAGGUGCUGCAUGGCUGUCGU
This 259-nucleotide ribosomal RNA is filed under the name uncultured bacterium. Its description in RNAcentral is "partial 16S ribosomal RNA". It matches the Rfam family "Bacterial small subunit ribosomal RNA", at positions 794 to 1055 of the family's 1533-position model. The record is from RNAcentral.